UCCGGUUUGUCACCGGCAGUCUCCUUAGAGUGCCCAACUGAAUGCUGGCAACUAAGGACAAGGGUUGCGCUCGUUGCGGGACUUAACCCAACACCUCACGGCACGAGCUGACGACAGCCAUGCAGCACCUGUGCAGCGGCCCCGAAGGGAAUAUACAUUUCUGUAUACGUCCACUGCAUGUCAAGACUGGGUAAGGUUCUUCGCGUUGCAUCGAAUUAAACCACAUGCUCCACUGCUUGUGCGGGUCCCCGUCAAUUCUUUUGAGUUUCACCCUUGCGAGCGUACUCCCCAGGCGGUAUACUUAUCGCGUUAGCUACGGCACAACCAGGGUUGAGUCCGGUUACACCAAGUAUACAUCGUUUACGGCAAGGACUAC
Molecule: unclassified non-coding RNA, 376 nt
Filed under: uncultured Parachlamydiaceae bacterium
Lineage: Bacteria; Pseudomonadati; Chlamydiota; Chlamydiia; Parachlamydiales; Parachlamydiaceae
Description: contains 16S-23S intergenic spacer region
Source: RNAcentral